GGUGGCUCAGAAGUAGAGUGCUUGCCUUGCAUGCAUGAGUCCCUGGGUUCGAUUCCUCAGCACCA
Molecule: transfer RNA, 65 nt
Filed under: Dipodomys ordii (Ord's kangaroo rat)
Lineage: Eukaryota; Metazoa; Chordata; Mammalia; Rodentia; Heteromyidae
Rfam family: tRNA
About the family: Transfer RNA (tRNA) molecules are approximately 80 nucleotides in length. Their secondary structure includes four short double-helical elements and three loops (D, anti-codon, and T loops).
Source: Rfam by way of RNAcentral